Drosophila virilis is the source of this 520-nucleotide non-coding RNA. NCBI's taxonomy places the organism in Eukaryota, Metazoa, Arthropoda, Insecta, Diptera, Drosophilidae. The record is from RefSeq and is a predicted model, not a curated record.
ACGCGUACGCCAAUGUACGAGAAAUGGCGUACAUGAAGCUCGAGCGGUGAAACUUCAAGUUUGACGGCAAGGACGCGAUGAAUUCGGACGAGGACUUCGUAUUCCGCCUGGAGUUCCUGCAGAGGCAGUCUCAAUGCCCGUGGAAGGAGGUCCUUCCUAGUCGCCGCAAAAGAAACACGCAAGGAGGCAAUUAAGAGGCAAUCGUUGCGACGAUUUAGGAACAAUGUGCGCACACAAAUACUUAAAGCUGAGUAUGUUACGAUAAUCAGUCGUGCAACAGGUAGGUGAUAUAGAUCUGUAUUAAAUCGCUCAAUUCUACCUUACCCUACCUAAAGAGCUCUCAGGGGUGGUAAGGGGCGAUUUAAAUGGAUAAUUCCAAUUAGGCGCAGAUGGAUCACCUUUGGAGUUUCCCUCACCGUUCGCACUCUAAAGUGAAGCUCGGCGUAAGUGCCUAUGGAGUACGAUCAAGAGUCUUCAUCAAUUCUCAGCCAAGGGCCCGAACAAGGAUGGGCAAAAAGGA